Molecule: unclassified non-coding RNA, 218 nt
Filed under: Hevea brasiliensis (rubber tree)
Lineage: Eukaryota; Viridiplantae; Streptophyta; Magnoliopsida; Malpighiales; Euphorbiaceae
Source: RNAcentral
GGAGAAGCUUGAUGGGCUCCAGAGGGAGGGUACUGAAAGUAACUCCCAGGUAGGAUUCUCUCCCCCAUCACACACCAGAAAAAUUAAUAAUGGGUGUGGAUGCAAGCAGAGAGAAAACAGAUGAAAAGGGUAGAGCUUUGAGAGCCAAAGACUGCUUCUAAGUCCUCCCCAGUCUCUACCCUUUAUUGUAAGAGCAUAGGAGCGUCAAAAGACCAAGC